Molecule: small RNA, 145 nt
Filed under: Staphylococcus aureus
Lineage: Bacteria; Bacillati; Bacillota; Bacilli; Caryophanales; Staphylococcaceae
Description: Transcript
Source: RNAcentral
GAUAGAUGUCCAUCAAUUCAUGACUCAGCUUUUAUUAAUGUUUCUAUAAUUAUACAUAUUAAUAUAAUGUAAUUAAGUUUCUAUUUUUACGCGGUGCUUUAGGCAUAUCUUCUUCUAAAUCCGUUAAAUAUAAGAAUCCAGCAAG